AGUUAUAUUAAAAUUAAAAUAAUGUUAAAUAAAUACAACCUAUAUAUUAUAAUAACAUUAAUUUAUUUAUUUAAUUAUAUCAAAUAAACAUUUAUCUUAUUUAAUCUUUUUAUAAAAAUAAAAAAAAUAAAAAGAUUAAAUAAGUAGGUCAAGAUAGUGAUUCAAUACUUAAUAUAAUUUUAUUACUAACCAUUAUAUAAGAUAUAUGAAUACAUAUAUAUAUUAAUUUUAUUGGUAUGCGUUCUUAAUUUUUUUAACAAUGUGUUAUGCCGUAGCAAUAUUUCUACGAUUUUUAUUUAUUUAGUUAAUAAAUUUGUUGUUUGUGUGUUUGAGUUGUUAGAAUCUUGAGAGAAUUCUUUAUUAAUUUGAUUAAUUAUAGGCUAUAUUUGUUUAUUUACUCGGAUUUUUUUGACAAUUAAUAAAGCUUUAACAUUAUUUUUUAUAUUAUUUUUUGUUUUAUUUUAAAAGUUUUAUUCUUGCUUUGGUUUUUAUAUUACUAUAUAUUAUAUGUAAGUUUUGUUCUUAAUGUUCGUGUUGCAGUAAUUUGAAUUAAUAAUCAGAUAACUCUGGAAUUAGUAAUUGUAUUAGUAUUGACUUAUUUCGUGCCAGCAGUCGCGGUUAUACGAUAGAUGCAAUUAAAAAUUAUUGGUUAGUAGUUAAUUUAAUUUUGAAUUAAUAAUUAUUAUUUUUAAGUGAAAUUUAAAUAAUAAUAUAUAUUUCUUUUUAUGAGGCUAUUAAAUUUAUUUAUUAAACUAGGAUUAGAUACCCUAUUAUUUUAAAUGUAGUUAAUAGGGCCUGAGUAGUAUUAGUUAUGUUCUUAAAACUCAAAGAAUUUGGCGGUAUUUUAUCUUUUUAGAGGAACCUGCCCUGUUAUUGAUAGUUCACGAUUAACUUUACUUGAAUUAUUUAUUUGUAUAUCUCCGUUAUCAGGCAGUCUUGUUAAAGGUUUUAAUUGCCUAAAAAUUUGAUUAAAUUAUAUUUCAGGUCAAGAUACAGUUUAUAUUUAAGUAGAGGUGGGUUACAAUAAUUUUAUUUAGAACGGAUUUUAUAAUGAAACUUAUAAUUAAAGGUGGAUUUAAUAGUAAUAUAAAUUAUUUUUUUUGUAUGAUUUUGCUCUAAAAUGUGUACACAUCGCCCGUCGCUCUCAUUAUUAAUUAUGUUAGUUAGUUUAAAUGAGAUAAGUCGUAACAUAGUAGAUGUACUGGAAAGUGUAUCUAG
Molecule: ribosomal RNA, 1218 nt
Filed under: Pentaspinula unispinula
Lineage: Eukaryota; Metazoa; Arthropoda; Insecta; Orthoptera; Eumastacidae
Description: small subunit ribosomal RNA
Rfam family: Microsporidia small subunit ribosomal RNA (bases 798-1217)
Source: RNAcentral